AAAAUUUUUUCGGUUGGGGAUGGGCUCGCGGCCUUUNCAGCUUGUUGGUGGGGUAAAGGCCUACCAAGGCGACGACGGGUAGCCGGCCUGAGAGGGCGACCGGCCACACUGGGACUGAGACACGGCCCAGACUCCUACGGGAGGCAGCAGUGGGGAAUAUUGCACAAUGGGGGAAACCCUGAUGCAGCGACGCCGCGUGAGGGAUGACGGCCUUCGGGUUGUAAACCUCUUUCAGUAGGGAAGAAGCCUUUCGAGGUGACGGUACCUGCAGAAGAAGUACCGGCUAACUACGUGCCAGCAGCCGCGGUAAUACGUAGGGUACAAGCGUUGUCCGGAAUUAUUGGGCGUAAAGAGCUCGUAGGCGGUCCGUCGCGUCUGCUGUGGAAACGCAAGGCUCAACCUUGCGCGUGCAGUGGGUACGGGCGGACUAGAGUGCAGUAGGGGAGUCUGGAAUUCCUGGUGUAGCGGUGAAAUGCGCAGAUAUCAGGAGGAACACCGGUGGCGAAGGCGGGACUCUGGGCUGUUACUGACGCUGAGGAGCGAAAGCAUGGGGAGCGAACAGGAUUAGAUACCCUGGUAGUCCAUGCCGUAAACGUUGGGCACUAGGUGUGGGGCUCAUUCCACGAGUUCCGCGCCGCAGCUAACGCAUUAAGUGCCCCGCCUGGGGAGUACGGCCGCAAGGCUAAAACUCAAAGGAAUUGACGGGGGCCCGCACAAGCGGCGGAGCAUGCGGAUUAAUUCGAUGCAACGCGAAGAACCUUACCAAGGCUUGACAUACACCGGAAUGUGCCAGAGAUGGUUCAGCCCUUUGGGCUGGUGUACAGGUGGUGCAUGGUUGUCGUCAGCUCGUGUCGUGAGAUGUUGGGUUAAGUCCCGCAACGAGCGCAACCCUCGUUCUAUGUUGCCAGCACGUGAUGGUGGGAACUCAUAGGAGACUGCCGGGGUCAACUCGGAGGAAGGUGGGGAUGACGUCAAAUCAUCAUGCCCUUUAUGUCUUGGGCUUCACGCAUGCUACAAUGGUCGGUACAAAGGGUUGCGAGACCGUGAGGUGGAGCGAAUCCCAGAAAGCCGAUCUCAGUUCGGAUCGUAGUCUGCAACUCGACUACGGAAGUCGGAGUCGCUAG
This 1124-nucleotide ribosomal RNA is filed under the name uncultured bacterium. RNAcentral describes it as "bacterial SSU rRNA". It matches the Rfam family "Bacterial small subunit ribosomal RNA", at positions 202 to 1338 of the family's 1533-position model. The record is from RNAcentral.